CAGAGGUCCCGAGCGUUGUUCGGAUUCACUGGGCGUAAAGGGUGCGUAGGUGGUUGGGCAAGUCUGAUGUGAAAUCUCCGGGCUUAACCCGGAGAUGGCAUUGGAAACUGCCUGGUUAGAGUGUUGGAGGGGGGGACUGGAAUUCUCGGUGUAGCAGUGAAACGCGUAGAUAUCGAGAGGAACACCAGUGGCGAAGGCGAGUCCCCUGGACAACGACUGACACUGAGGCACGAAAGCUAGGGGGAGCAAACAGGAUUAGAUACCCUGGUAGUCCUAGCCGUAAACGGUGCUUGCUUGCUGUAAAAGGAAUCGACCCCUUUUGUGGCGAAGCCAACGCGAUAAGCAAGCCGCCUGGGAAGUACGGUCGCAAGAUUA
Molecule: ribosomal RNA, 375 nt
Filed under: uncultured organism
Description: bacterial SSU rRNA
Rfam family: Bacterial small subunit ribosomal RNA
Source: RNAcentral